AUGAUUAGAGCGGCGGACGGGUGAGUAACGCGUAGGAAUCUACCUAGUAGAAGGGGAUAGCCCGGGGAAACCCGGAUUAAUACCGCAUGAUCUCUACGGAGCAAAGCUGGGGACCUUCGGGCCUGGCGCUUUUGGAGGAGCCUAUGUCUGAUUAGCUUGUUGGUGAGGUAACGGCUCACCAAGGCUACGAUCAGUAACUGGUCUGAGAGGACGAUCAGCCACACUGGAACUGAGACACGGUCCAGACUCC
RNAcentral lists this ribosomal RNA (250 nucleotides) under uncultured bacterium. RNAcentral describes it as "partial 16S ribosomal RNA". It matches the Rfam family "Bacterial small subunit ribosomal RNA", at positions 86 to 339 of the family's 1533-position model. The record is from RNAcentral.